Manacus vitellinus (golden-collared manakin) is the source of this 254-nucleotide long non-coding RNA. RefSeq lists it as uncharacterized. The record is from RefSeq and is a predicted model, not a curated record. NCBI's taxonomy places the organism in Eukaryota, Metazoa, Chordata, Aves, Passeriformes, Pipridae. The transcript has 3 exons.
GUGAUUUGUGUCCCUUCAGAACACACAAGCAGCAAGAUCGUCAAAACCAGCCUUCCCUAUUGGCUGUUUGAUUUUCUGCCACAACAAGGACACCAACAACACUGAACCUAUGCUUGCAGACACACUUCUACCCAUCUAAAGAAGAGACUUUCCAACAGUGCACUGAACUCUUGAUGACUGAUGUAGAAUUACAGGACAGCAGAAUACAUGGGGCUCCCAAACUGCAGAGGAAAUCUGGGAAAGAAGGAUAAGGC